GGCAAGGUGGCCGAGCGGUCCAAGGCGCCACGUUAAGGUUUUCCGUGGUCUCGAAAGGGGCGUGAGUUCGAAUCUCACCCUUGUCA
RNAcentral lists this transfer RNA (86 nucleotides) under Thermochaetoides thermophila DSM 1495. Its description in RNAcentral is "Chaetomium thermophilum var. thermophilum DSM 1495 tRNA-Leu". It matches the Rfam family "tRNA". From Rfam's summary of the family: Transfer RNA (tRNA) molecules are approximately 80 nucleotides in length. Their secondary structure includes four short double-helical elements and three loops (D, anti-codon, and T loops). Lineage: Eukaryota; Fungi; Ascomycota; Sordariomycetes; Sordariales; Chaetomiaceae. The record is from RNAcentral.